RNAcentral lists this ribosomal RNA (431 nucleotides) under uncultured bacterium. RNAcentral's name for it is "partial 16S ribosomal RNA". It matches the Rfam family "Bacterial small subunit ribosomal RNA", at positions 29 to 507 of the family's 1533-position model. The record is from RNAcentral.
AACGAACGCUGGCGGCAGGCCUAACACAUGCAAGUCGAGCGCGCCUUCGGGUGAGCGGCGGACGGGUGAGUAACGCGUGGGAAUAUGCCCUUCUCUACGGAAUAGUCCUGGGAAACUGGGGGUAAUACCGUAUACGCCCUUUGGGGGAAAGAUUUAUCGGGGAAGGAUUAGCCCGCGUUGGAUUAGGUAGUUGGUGGGGUAAUGGCCUACCAAGCCGACGAUCCAUAGCUGGUUUGAGAGGAUGAUCAGCCACAUUGGGACUGAGACACGGCCCAGACUCCUACGGGAGGCAGCAGUGGGGAAUCUUAGACAAUGGGGGCAACCCUGAUCUAGCCAUGCCGCGUGAGUGAUGAAGGCCUUAGGGUUGUAAAGCUCUUUCAGCUGGGAAGAUAAUGACGGUACCAGCAGAAGAAGCCCCGGCUAACUCCGUG